AGAGUGCAGUAGAGCCAAGGAUGAAUUUCAGGCAGUGCAACAACUUAUACCAAGUAGAAUGAUGAUCGAUAAUCAAUGUCUUGGAAAAUUAGUUGGUAUUUAACUGUUGGGAAUUUAUUGCUUGGCUAAAUUGUGUUCUCU
Molecule: microRNA precursor, 141 nt
Filed under: Olea europaea subsp. europaea
Lineage: Eukaryota; Viridiplantae; Streptophyta; Magnoliopsida; Lamiales; Oleaceae
Source: RNAcentral